Molecule: ribosomal RNA, 773 nt
Filed under: bacterium CUA-158
Lineage: Bacteria
Description: bacterial SSU rRNA
Rfam family: Bacterial small subunit ribosomal RNA
Source: RNAcentral
UGCAGUCGAACGGUAACAUUGAUUGCUUGCAAUCAGAUGACGAGUGGCGCACGGGUGCGGAACGCGUAUGGAACCUGCCUCUGUCAGGGGAAUAGCCCAUGGAAACGUGGAUUAAUGCCCCAUGGUAUCCUAGUACUGCAUGGUAUUAGGAUUAAAGAUUUAUCGGACAGAGAUGGCCAUGCGUAUCAUUAGCUAGUUGGUAAGGUAACGGCUUACCAAGGCAACGAUGAUUAGGGGCCCUGAGAGGGGGAUCCCCCACACUGGUACUGAGACACGGACCAGACUCCUACGGGAGGCAGCAGUGAGGAAUAUUGGACAAUGGUGGGAACACUGAUCCAGCCAUGCCGCGUGCAGGAUGACUGCCCUAUGGGUUGUAAACUGCUUUUAUACGGGAAGAAACCCAGGUACGUGUACCUGGCUGACGGUACCGUAAGAAUAAGGACCGGCUAACUCCGUGCCAGCAGCCGCGGUAAUACGGAGGGUCCGAGCGUUAUCCGGAAUCAUUGGGUUUAAAGGGUCCGUAGGCGGGCCUAUAAGUCAGAGGUGAAAGGCCACGGCUCAACCGUGGGACUGCCUUUGAUACUGUAGGUCUUGAGUUACAGUGGGGUUGCCGGAACAUGUGGUGUAGCGGUGAAAUGCAUAGAUAUCACAUAGAACACCAAUCGCGAAGGCAGGUGGCCAACUGUAUACUGACGCUGAUGGACGAAAGCGUGGGGAGCGAACGGGAUUAGAUACCCCGGUAGUCCACGCCGUAAACGAUGGACACUAGCUGU